RNAcentral lists this ribosomal RNA (521 nucleotides) under uncultured microorganism. RNAcentral describes it as "bacterial SSU rRNA". It matches the Rfam family "Bacterial small subunit ribosomal RNA", at positions 9 to 527 of the family's 1533-position model. The record is from RNAcentral.
GAGUUUGAUCUUGGCUCAGAUUGAACGCUGGCGGCAGGCCUAACACAUGCAAGUCGAGCGGAUGAAGGGAGCUUGCUCCUGGAUUCAGCGGUGGACGGGUGAGUAAUGCCUAGGAAUCUGCCUGGUAGUGGGGAUAACGUCCGGAAACGGGCGCUAAUACCGCAUACGUCCUGAGGGAGAAAGUGGGGGAUCUUCGGACCUCACGCUAUCAGAUGAGCCUAGGUCGGAUUAGCUAGUUGGUGGGGUAAAGGCCUACCAAGGCGACGAUCCGUAACUGGUCUGAGAGGAUGAUCAGUCACACUGGAACUGAGACACGGUCCAGACUCCUACGGGAGGCAGCAGUGGGGAAUAUUGGACAAUGGGCGAAAGCCUGAUCCAGCCAUGCCGCGUGUGUGAAGAAGGUCUUCGGAUUGUAAAGCACUUUAAGUUGGGAGGAAGGGCAGUAAGUUAAUACCUUGCUGUUUUGCCGUUACCAACAGAAUAAGCACCGGCUAACUUCGUGCCAGCCGCGCCGUAACACC